UGGGGAAUAUUGCGCAAUGGGCGAAAGCCUGACGCAGCAACGCCGCGUGAGUGAUGAAGGCCUUCGGGUCGUAAAGCUCUUUUACCAGGGACGAUAAUGACGGUACCUGGAGAAUAAGCCCCGGCAAACUUCGUGCCAGCAGCCGCGGUAAUACGAAGGGGGCUAGCGUUGUUCGGAAUUACUGGGCGUAAAGCGCACGUAGGCGGAUUGUUAAGUCAGAGGUGAAAUCCCGGAGCUCAACUUCGGAACUGCCUUUGAUACUGGCAAUCUAGAGUCCGGAAGAGGUUAGUGGAAUUCCCAGUGUAGAGGUGAAAUUCGUAGAUAUUGGGAAGAACACCAGUGGCGAAGGCGGCUAACUGGUCCGGUACUGAUGCUGAGGUGCGAAAGCGUGGGGAGCAAACAGGAUUAGAUACCCCCGUAGUCCCUGAGCGGGCUGGCAAGGCGCAU
Molecule: ribosomal RNA, 447 nt
Filed under: uncultured bacterium
Lineage: Bacteria
Description: bacterial SSU rRNA
Rfam family: Bacterial small subunit ribosomal RNA
Source: RNAcentral